RNAcentral lists this ribosomal RNA (2925 nucleotides) under Escherichia coli. RNAcentral's name for it is "23S ribosomal RNA". It matches the Rfam family "Bacterial large subunit ribosomal RNA". The record is from RNAcentral. Lineage: Bacteria; Pseudomonadati; Pseudomonadota; Gammaproteobacteria; Enterobacterales; Enterobacteriaceae.
GGGUUGUGAGGUUAAGCGACUAAGCGUACACGGUGGAUGCCCUGGCAGUCAGAGGCGAUGAAGGACGUGCUAAUCUGCGAUAAGCGUCGGUAAGGUGAUAUGAACCGUUAUAACCGGCGAUUUCCGAAUGGGGAAACCCAGUGUGUUUCGACACACUAUCAUUAACUGAAUCCAUAGGUUAAUGAGGCGAACCGGGGGAACUGAAACAUCUAAGUACCCCGAGGAAAAGAAAUCAACCGAGAUUCCCCCAGUAGCGGCGAGCGAACGGGGAGCAGCCCAGAGCCUGAAUCAGUGUGUGUGUUAGUGGAAGCGUCUGGAAAGGCGCGCGAUACAGGGUGACAGCCCCGUACACAAAAAUGCACAUAUUGUGAGCUCGAUGAGUAGGGCGGGACACGUGGUAUCCUGUCUGAAUAUGGGGGGACCAUCCUCCAAGGCUAAAUACUCCUGACUGACCGAUAGUGAACCAGUACCGUGAGGGAAAGGCGAAAAGAACCCCGGCGAGGGGAGUGAAAAAGAACCUGAAACCGUGUACGUACAAGCAGUGGGAGCCUCUUUUAUGGGGUGACUGCGUACCUUUUGUAUAAUGGGUCAGCGACUUAUAUUCUGUAGCAAGGUUAACCGAAUAGGGGAGCCGAAGGGAAACCGAGUCUUAACUGGGCGUUAAGUUGCAGGGUAUAGACCCGAAACCCGGUGAUCUAGCCAUGGGCAGGUUGAAGGUUGGGUAACACUAACUGGAGGACCGAACCGACUAAUGUUGAAAAAUUAGCGGAUGACUUGUGGCUGGGGGUGAAAGGCCAAUCAAACCGGGAGAUAGCUGGUUCUCCCCGAAAGCUAUUUAGGUAGCGCCUCGUGAAUUCAUCUCCGGGGGUAGAGCACUGUUUCGGCAAGGGGGUCAUCCCGACUUACCAACCCGAUGCAAACUGCGAAUACCGGAGAAUGUUAUCACGGGAGACACACGGCGGGUGCUAACGUCCGUCGUGAAGAGGGAAACAACCCAGACCGCCAGCUAAGGUCCCAAAGUCAUGGUUAAGUGGGAAACGAUGUGGGAAGGCCCAGACAGCCAGGAUGUUGGCUUAGAAGCAGCCAUCAUUUAAAGAAAGCGUAAUAGCUCACUGGUCGAGUCGGCCUGCGCGGAAGAUGUAACGGGGCUAAACCAUGCACCGAAGCUGCGGCAGCGACGCUUAUGCGUUGUUGGGUAGGGGAGCGUUCUGUAAGCCUGUGAAGGUGUGCUGUGAGGCAUGCUGGAGGUAUCAGAAGUGCGAAUGCUGACAUAAGUAACGAUAAAGCGGGUGAAAAGCCCGCUCGCCGGAAGACCAAGGGUUCCUGUCCAACGUUAAUCGGGGCAGGGUGAGUCGACCCCUAAGGCGAGGCCGAAAGGCGUAGUCGAUGGGAAACAGGUUAAUAUUCCUGUACUUGGUGUUACUGCGAAGGGGGGACGGAGAAGGCUAUGUUGGCCGGGCGACGGUUGUCCCGGUUUAAGCGUGUAGGCUGGUUUUCCAGGUAAAUCCGGAAAAUCAAGGCUGAGGCGUGAUGACGAGGCACUACGGUGCUGAAGCAACAAAUGCCCUGCUUCCAGGAAAAGCCUCUAAGCAUCAGGUAACAUCAAAUCGUACCCCAAACCGACACAGGUGGUCAGGUAGAGAAUACCAAGGCGCUUGAGAGAACUCGGGUGAAGGAACUAGGCAAAAUGGUGCCGUAACUUCGGGAGAAGGCACGCUGAUAUGUAGGUGAAGUCCCUCGCGGAUGGAGCUGAAAUCAGUCGAAGAUACCAGCUGGCUGCAACUGUUUAUUAAAAACACAGCACUGUGCAAACACGAAAGUGGACGUAUACGGUGUGACGCCUGCCCGGUGCCGGAAGGUUAAUUGAUGGGGUCAGCGCAAGCGAAGCUCUUGAUCGAAGCCCCGGUAAACGGCGGCCGUAACUAUAACGGUCCUAAGGUAGCGAAAUUCCUUGUCGGGUAAGUUCCGACCUGCACGAAUGGCGUAAUGAUGGCCAGGCUGUCUCCACCCGAGACUCAGUGAAAUUGAACUCGCUGUGAAGAUGCAGUGUACCCGCGGCAAGACGGAAAGACCCCGUGAACCUUUACUAUAGCUUGACACUGAACAUUGAGCCUUGAUGUGUAGGAUAGGUGGGAGGCUUAGAAGUGUGGACGCCAGUCUGCAUGGAGCCGACCUUGAAAUACCACCCUUUAAUGUUUGAUGUUCUAACGUGGACCCGUAAUCCGGGUUGCGGACAGUGUCUGGUGGGUAGUUUGACUGGGGCGGUCUCCUCCUAAAGAGUAACGGAGGAGCACGAAGGUUGGCUAAUCCUGGUCGGACAUCAGGAGGUUAGUGCAAUGGCAUAAGCCAGCUUGACUGCGAGCGUGACGGCGCGAGCAGGUGCGAAAGCAGGUCAUAGUGAUCCGGUGGUUCUGAAUGGAAGGGCCAUCGCUCAACGGAUAAAAGGUACUCCGGGGAUAACAGGCUGAUACCGCCCAAGAGUUCAUAUCGACGGCGGUGUUUGGCACCUCGAUGUCGGCUCAUCACAUCCUGGGGCUGAAGUAGGUCCCAAGGGUAUGGCUGUUCGCCAUUUAAAGUGGUACGCGAGCUGGGUUUAGAACGUCGUGAGACAGUUCGGUCCCUAUCUGCCGUGGGCGCUGGAGAACUGAGGGGGGCUGCUCCUAGUACGAGAGGACCGGAGUGGACGCAUCACUGGUGUUCGGGUUGUCAUGCCAAUGGCACUGCCCGGUAGCUAAAUGCGGAAGAGAUAAGUGCUGAAAGCAUCUAAGCACGAAACUUGCCCCGAGAUGAGUUCUCCCUGACCCUUUAAGGGUCCUGAAGGAACGUUGAAGACGACGACGUUGAUAGGCCGGGUGUGUAAGCGCAGCGAUGCGUUGAGCUAACCGGUACUAAUGAACCGUGAGGCUUAACCUUACAACGCCGAAG